UACGUAGGGUGCAAGCGUUAAUCGGAAUUACUGGGCGUAAAGCGUGCGCAGGCGGUUCCGCAAGUCAGAUGUGAAAUCCCCGGGCUUAACCUGGGAACUGCAUUUGAAACUAUGGAGCUAGAGUGUGUCAGAGGGGGGUAGAAUUCCACGCGUAGCAGUGAAAUGCGUAGAGAUGUGGAGGAAUACCGAUGGCGAAGGCAGCCCCCUGGGAUAACACUGACGCUCAUGCACGAAAGCGUGGGGAGCAAACAGG
RNAcentral lists this ribosomal RNA (253 nucleotides) under uncultured bacterium. RNAcentral's name for it is "partial 16S ribosomal RNA". It matches the Rfam family "Bacterial small subunit ribosomal RNA", at positions 524 to 776 of the family's 1533-position model. The record is from RNAcentral.